RNAcentral lists this long non-coding RNA (325 nucleotides) under Zalophus californianus (California sea lion). RNAcentral's name for it is "lncRNA (ENSZCAG00015024272.1)". Lineage: Eukaryota; Metazoa; Chordata; Mammalia; Carnivora; Otariidae. The record is from RNAcentral.
AGCCUGGGCUGGCAAGUUAGGUGGAUGGUGGUCACCGGUAAAAAUCGAGUUCUUUGAUGACUCCUGUACCAGCUCAGAAGCAAGGGCCUUAGAAGCUGCACUACGUUGGGACAGAUCAGCACCUUGUUGGCCACACUGAAACACCAUGGUCUUGGAUUAUGUCUACACUCUGAUGCAAAUAAUGAUCACCUGUGGGGACUGUAGCACACCAAUCGAUUGUUCAUUGAUGUGGAAACCAGGUGCCCGUCUCCUGUCUUCCCAGGCACAAACUCAUGCAACUGUCACAGUUCUGCAGGCCAGUUGCUCUUAUUGUGGGGAACUCCAC